GUAUCGCCUAGAGCKUAUUGUUGGUUUUCUGUAUUGGAUMCCUAAUCGARGGUAUUAUUUUGAUCRAUUGGAGUCCYUUUUCGUCUUGUGUUGCAUUCUGUGUCGCAUGAUGAACUUUGAAGCGGUCUCUAUGAUCCAUCACGUUGAUGCACUUGCAUUGAUGUUGUGGCCCAUUGAGCUUUGUUUGGUUUCUUGGAUAUGGAACAUGAAGUGGGCAUGGGGCUGUCAUGAUCCUCUUUUUGCCCUCGUAUGGUGUUCUCGAACGACGGGUCAUGCGCGCCUAGGCUCGUACCUGCGUGAUGAUCUAUGUCAAAGAGGAUGCUACCUGGUUGAUCCUGCCACUAGUC
RNAcentral lists this unclassified non-coding RNA (347 nucleotides) under Tephroseris integrifolia subsp. integrifolia. RNAcentral's name for it is "partial contains external transcribed spacer and small subunit ribosomal RNA". The record is from RNAcentral. Lineage: Eukaryota; Viridiplantae; Streptophyta; Magnoliopsida; Asterales; Asteraceae.